Non-coding RNA from Gossypium hirsutum (cotton), 109 nucleotides. The record is from Rfam. NCBI's taxonomy places the organism in Eukaryota, Viridiplantae, Streptophyta, Magnoliopsida, Malvales, Malvaceae.
AAAUCCUGUGGUGAGGGAAUCUACGAAGUAACUCCAUGAAUCAUUCCCAUGCCUCGUAUAAGGAUUCAUCAUCAAUUUGUUGAAAAGUGGUGAUCUCACUCCGCAACUU